RNAcentral lists this ribosomal RNA (253 nucleotides) under uncultured bacterium. RNAcentral's name for it is "partial 16S ribosomal RNA". It matches the Rfam family "Bacterial small subunit ribosomal RNA", at positions 524 to 776 of the family's 1533-position model. The record is from RNAcentral.
UACGGAGGGUGCAAACGUUGCUCGGAAUUAUUGGGCGUAAAGCGCACGUAGGCGGUCUAGCAAGUCGGGUGUGAAAGCCCUCAGCUUAACUGAGGAAGUGCAUUCGAAACUACUAGGCUUGAGUACUGAAGAGGACGACGGAAUUCCCGGUGUAGAGGUGAAAUUCGUAGAUAUGCCAUAGAACACCAAUUGCGAAGGCAGCUGGCUAGACCUGGAUUGACGCUGAGGCACGAAAGCGUGGGGAGCGAACAGG